GGACUACUCGGGUUUCUAAUCCUGUUUGCUCCCCUAGCUUUCGUUCUUCAGCGUCAGUAGUGGUCCAGCUCGCCGCUUUCGCCACGGGUGUUCCUGCAGAUAUCUACGCAUUUCACCGCUACACCUGCAAUUCCACGAGCCUCUCCCACACUCAAGCACAGCAGUUUUGGAAGCCGUCUCUGGGUUAAGCCCAGAGAUUUCACUCCCAACUUGCCGCACCGCCUACGAACCCUUUACACCCAGUAAUUCCGAACAACGCUGGCCCCCUACGUAUUACCGCGGCGGCUGGCAC
Molecule: ribosomal RNA, 292 nt
Filed under: uncultured Acidobacteriota bacterium
Lineage: Bacteria; Pseudomonadati; Acidobacteriota
Description: uncultured Acidobacteria bacterium partial 16S ribosomal RNA
Source: RNAcentral